RNAcentral lists this ribosomal RNA (353 nucleotides) under uncultured bacterium. RNAcentral's name for it is "bacterial SSU rRNA". It matches the Rfam family "Bacterial small subunit ribosomal RNA", at positions 917 to 1271 of the family's 1533-position model. The record is from RNAcentral.
GGGCCCGCACAAGCAGUGGAGCAUGUGGUUUAAUUCGAUGCAACGCGAAGAACCUUACCAGGGUUUGACAUCCUGCGAAUCUCUUGGAAACGAGAGAGUGCCUUCGGGAGCGCAGUGACAGGUGGUGCAUGGCUGUCGUCAGCUCGUGUCGUGAGAUGUUGGGUUAAGUCCCGCAACGAGCGCAACCCACGUCUUUAGUUGCCAGCAUUUAGUUGGGCACUCUAGAGAGACCGCCGGUGAUAAACCGGAGGAAGGUGUGGAUGACGUCAAGUCAUCAUGCCCCUUACAUCCUGGGCUACACACGUACUACAAUGCUACGGACAAAGGGCAGCAAGUUCGCGAGGACAAGCAAA